UGAAACAAGGCAAAAUGGGCGAAACAAUUGGAUGCUAAUCAAUACUUAUAUUCCUGUGAUUUCAUACACCAAAUUGAACUUCGUAUCACAUAUGCAUACUGUCAGUCAUUCCAAAAAGUUGACUUAGUGCUCAGUCACUUUCCCUCCAAUAGACCCAUCAUGUUGUCAAAAGCCUAAAACUCAUGUGUGAAGCUCACAUAUCUUGGAAUACAUAUUUGUAGAGACAAGGUAUUUCCCCAUUACUGCUACCACACCAACCACACCACGUCAAAUGCCUUACUAAAUUCAGCACCAUUCACCCAUAUGAUAAAGCAUCAGGAAAUUUACCUCGACCUGAGGAGUAAGGC
Molecule: long non-coding RNA, 347 nt
Filed under: Daphnia pulicaria
Lineage: Eukaryota; Metazoa; Arthropoda; Branchiopoda; Diplostraca; Daphniidae
Description: uncharacterized LOC124326764
Source: RNAcentral